Molecule: ribosomal RNA, 253 nt
Filed under: uncultured bacterium
Lineage: Bacteria
Description: partial 16S ribosomal RNA
Rfam family: Bacterial small subunit ribosomal RNA
Source: RNAcentral
UACGUAGGGUGCGAGCGUUGUCCGGAAUUAUUGGGCGUAAAGAGCUCGUAGGCGGUUUGUCGCGUCGACUGUGAAACCCCGAGGCUUAACCUCGGGCCUGCAGUCGAUACGGGCAGACUAGAGUUCGGUAGGGGAGACUGGAAUUCCUGGUGUAGCGGUGAAAUGCGCAGAUAUCAGGAGGAACACCGGUGGCGAAGGCGGGUCUCUGGGCCGAUACUGACGCUGAGGAGCGAAAGCGUGGGGAGCGAACAGG